GACGAACGCUGGCGGCGUGCCUAAUACGUGCAAGUCGAACGCAUUUUCUUUCACCGUAGCUUGCUACACCGAAAGAAAAUGAGUGGCGAACGGGUGAGUAACACGUGGGUAACCUGCCCAUCAGCGGGGGAUAACACUUGGAAACAGGUGCUAAUACCGCAUAAUUCCAUUUACUGCAUGGUAGAUGGAUGAAAGGCGCUUUUGCGUCACUGAUGGAUGGACCCGCGGUGCAUUAGCUAGUUGGUGGGGUAACGGCCUACCAAGGCUGCGAUGCAUAGCCGACCUGAGAGGGUGAUCGGCCACACUGGGACUGAGACACGGCCCAGACUCCUACGGGAGGCAGCAGUAGGGAAUCUUCGGCAAUGGACGCAAGUCUGACCGAGCAACGCCGCGUGAGUGAAGAAGGUUUUCGGAUCGUAAAACUCUGUUGUUAGAAAAGAACAAGGAUGAGAGUGGAAAGUUCAUCCCUUGACGGUAUCUAACCAGAAAGCCACGGCUAACUACGUG
RNAcentral lists this ribosomal RNA (507 nucleotides) under uncultured bacterium. Its description in RNAcentral is "partial 16S ribosomal RNA". It matches the Rfam family "Bacterial small subunit ribosomal RNA", at positions 28 to 507 of the family's 1533-position model. The record is from RNAcentral.